This 63-nucleotide transfer RNA is filed under the name Mesocricetus auratus (golden hamster). It matches the Rfam family "tRNA". From Rfam's summary of the family: Transfer RNA (tRNA) molecules are approximately 80 nucleotides in length. The record is from Rfam by way of RNAcentral. Lineage: Eukaryota; Metazoa; Chordata; Mammalia; Rodentia; Cricetidae.
GGGGAUUUAGCUCAGUGGUAGAACACUUGCCUAAGAUGCAUGAGGCCCUAGGUUCAGUCCCCA